UCCAGACUCCUACGGGAGGCAGCAGUGAGGAAUAUUGGUCAAUGGGCGCGAGCCUGAACCAGCCAAGUCGCGUGAGGGAAGACGGUCCUAUGGAUUGUAAACCUCUUUUGCCGGGGAGCAACGGGCGUCACGUGUGGCGCCACUGAGAGUACCCGGAGAAAAAGCAUCGGCUAACUCCGUGCCAGCAGCCGCGGUAAUACGGAGGAUGCGAGCGUUAUCCGGAUUUAUUGGGUUUAAAGGGUGCGCAGGCGGAAGAUCAAGUCAGGGGUAAAAUUGAGAGGCUCAACCUCUUCGAGCCGUUGAAACUGGUUUUCUUGAGUGAGUGAGAAGUAUGCGGAAUGCGUGGUGUAGCGGUGAAAUGCAUAGAUAUCACGCAGAACUCCGAUUGCGAAGGCAGCAUACCGGCGCUCAACUGACGCUCAUGCACGAAAGUGUGGGUAUCGAACAGGAUUAGAUACCCCUGUA
This 465-nucleotide ribosomal RNA is filed under the name uncultured bacterium. Its description in RNAcentral is "bacterial SSU rRNA". It matches the Rfam family "Bacterial small subunit ribosomal RNA", at positions 330 to 792 of the family's 1533-position model. The record is from RNAcentral.